This 16-nucleotide small RNA is filed under the name Arabidopsis thaliana (thale cress). RNAcentral's name for it is "ATSL054660". The record is from RNAcentral. Lineage: Eukaryota; Viridiplantae; Streptophyta; Magnoliopsida; Brassicales; Brassicaceae.
UUGCAAAGGAUUCUAC